AGCUCGAACGGCAUCGCGGGAAAGCUUGCUUUCCUGGCGGCGAGGUGGCGAACGGGUGAGUAACACAUCGGAACGUACCGGCUAGUGGGGGAUAACCCGUCGAAAGACGGGCUAAUACCGCWUACGCUCUUAGGAGGAAAGCAGGGGACCUUUGGGCCUUGCGCUAGCCGAGCGGCCGAUGUCCGAUUAGCUAGUUGGUGGGGUAAAGGCCUACCAAGGCGACGAUCGGUAGCGGGUCUGAGAGGACGAUCCGCCACACUGGGACUGAGACACGGCCCAGACUCCUACGGGAGGCAGCAGUGGGGAAUCUUGGACAAUGGGGGCAACCCUGAUCCAUCAAUGCCGCGUGGGUGAAGAAGGCCUUCGGGUUGUAAAGCCCUUUCGGCAGGGAAGAAAUCGGCGGGGCGAAUAACCCUGCUGGAUGACGGUACCUGCAGAAGAAGCACCGGCUAACUACGUGCCAGCCGCCGCGGUAAUUCA
This 480-nucleotide ribosomal RNA is filed under the name uncultured bacterium. RNAcentral describes it as "bacterial SSU rRNA". It matches the Rfam family "Bacterial small subunit ribosomal RNA", at positions 60 to 527 of the family's 1533-position model. The record is from RNAcentral.